AUUGGGUUUAAAGGGAGCGUAGGCUGGAGAUUAAGUGUGUUGUGAAAUGUAGACGCUCAACGUCUGACUUGCAGCGCAUACUGGUUUCCUUGAGUACGCACAACGUUGGCGGAAUUCGUCGUGUAGCGGUGAAAUGCUUAGAUAUGACGAAGAACUCCGAUUGCGAAGGCAGCUGACGGGAGCGCAACUGACGCUGAAGCUCGAAGGUGCGGGUAUCGAACAGGAUUAGAUACCCUGGUAGUCCGCACAGUAAACGAUGGAUGCCCGCUGUUGGUACCUGGUAUCAGCGGCUAAGCGAAAGCAUUAAGCAUCCCACCUGGGGAGUACGCCGGCAACGGUGAAACUCAAAGGAAUUGACGGGGGCCCGCACAAGCGGAGGAACAUGUGGUUUAAUUCGAUGAUACGCGAGGAACCUUACCCGGGCUUGAAUUGCAGAGGAAGGAUUUAGAGAUAAUGACGCCCUUCGGGGUCUCUGUGAAGGUGCUGCAUGGUUGUCGUCAGCUCGUGUCGUGAG
This 514-nucleotide ribosomal RNA is filed under the name uncultured bacterium. RNAcentral's name for it is "bacterial SSU rRNA". It matches the Rfam family "Bacterial small subunit ribosomal RNA", at positions 553 to 1071 of the family's 1533-position model. The record is from RNAcentral.